UUUCACAUCUGCCUUCUAAGCCCAGUCAUUAUGACUUUGACAUGUAUUUUGCAAAUAUUUUUCUUCUUGCCAUUUAUUUUCUGUCUUUGUUCACAGUAACCUUUUUCGGUGCCCAAUUUUCCCUAUCUCAGGAUGAAUGGAGCAGCAGAAGAGUGCAAUGGCCCGAGUGCCCAGUGAGCGCCUUUCCUCCUGAAGGCUUCAUGGAAGGGAUACUCUUUUCUUGCCACACCUUGUGCUGAAACUGAUCCUCACUCACGACAAGGAGUGGUUAAAGCUCCCUGAUCCCAAGGAAUCCUGCAGAUAGGUAAAACAAAGAAUGAGAAGAGGCAAACCUCUCCACCUUCAUUCCUUUCUCAUUCCUAUGACACAGGUGAGAGGAUGGGAGGAAAGACCAAAGAAGCACUGCUAUAGUUUGGAUCUGAAAUGUCCACCAAAGGCCCAUGUGUUAAAGCCUUGUUCCACAUCAUAUGGCACUAUUGGGAGUUGGAGCCUAGUGGGAUGGAAUGUUCUCCAAUUAUUGAAGAAUGACCUUGAAAGUGAUAAUGGGACUCCCGCCUCUUUGUCUUGUUCAUUCCAGAGCAUAAGGUGAUUGGCUUUGUUUUACCAUGUGUUGCCACCAUAGUAUGCUGUUUUGGCCCACACUCAAGGCAAUUGAGCCAAUUGAUUAUGGACUGAAACCUCCAAAACUAUAAGUCAAAAUAACACUUUUCUCUUUGUAAGUGGAUUAUUUCAGGUAUUUGUUAGAAUAAUUGAAAGCUGACUAACACAAUCACCAAGGCCAAUUUUCUACUGACCCGGAAGAUGGGGUUUGAUGUAAAAAAAAUUAAGCAUAAUUAUAGAAAAUAAUUAGUACAAUUCUUGUACAUGUAAGUUUGUAAGGUGAGAUUGAGACCUAUCAUAUAGAUUACCUUUGCAUUGUAAUUAGAGAAUUUCCUGCAGAUUACAGAUAGUUAGAAGUUAGGAAAUUUCUGUUAUUUCCCCCCCACACACA
Non-coding RNA from Ictidomys tridecemlineatus (thirteen-lined ground squirrel), 991 nucleotides. NCBI's taxonomy places the organism in Eukaryota, Metazoa, Chordata, Mammalia, Rodentia, Sciuridae. The record is from RefSeq and is a predicted model, not a curated record.